Molecule: non-coding RNA, 640 nt
Organism: Rattus norvegicus (Norway rat)
Lineage: Eukaryota; Metazoa; Chordata; Mammalia; Rodentia; Muridae
Source: RefSeq, a predicted model, not a curated record
AGGAGGCAAUCAGGCUUAGGACACCCCCAACUUUUCUUGAAUCAUGGAAUCUAUAUUCAGUCUCUUGCAGAUUCAGCUAAAGAUGUGUAUAUGCUAGACUGUGAAGUACCAUUAGAAGAUGAAGCAAUGUAGGACCUCUUGAGCUAUUUUCAAGGUAAACUGGAGGUUCAAUUGGGAUGCAAUGAAGAGCCCCUGACAAGCAUAUUCUUCAAAGCCUCCCAUGGUGUAACUGAAGAUACGAUAUGUGAAGUAGCCCUAGCUUGCCUGCUCAAGGAGGGACAUCAGAAUGAUACCUUUUGCUCCAGUUGUUCUCAAAUUCACAUCUUCUGUCCAUGGGGUCUGUAAUGUCACCGUUUCAUAGAAGAACUUCAGUGUCUCUCCUUUUCCCUAUGGGAGCAUCAACACUCCACAUCUACUCACAAGUAUUUCACCUUUUUUCUCUGUAUAGUGGGCAAGAGCACUUUCACCAUAGGCCCACAUUGGCCUGAAAUAUCUUCUUUUGCCCAAGGCGUACUCAUGCCUGCACUCUCUUGUGGCCAUCAUUAGCACUUCUUCUCUUGAUUUUGUGAGCCUGCUAUAUCCCAACUGUUUAGGAUUACAUACAAACUUAUUUCUGCUACAUGUAUUCUGAGACAUUCCU